Molecule: ribosomal RNA, 468 nt
Filed under: Selenomonas sp. oral taxon H30
Lineage: Bacteria; Bacillati; Bacillota; Negativicutes; Selenomonadales; Selenomonadaceae
Description: bacterial SSU rRNA
Rfam family: Bacterial small subunit ribosomal RNA
Source: RNAcentral
GACGAACGCUGGCGGCGUGCUUAACACAUGCAAGUCGAACGGGAUGAUCUUAAAGCUUGCUUUUAGAGAAUCUAGUGGCAAACGGGUGAGUAACACGUAGGCAACCUGCCGACAGGAUGGGGACAACAUUCCGAAAGGAAUGCUAAUACCGAAUGAAGUCAGAGAAGGGCAUCCUUUUCUGAUGAAAGAUGGCCUCUGAAUAUGCUAUCACCUGUCGAUGGGCCUGCGUCUGAUUAGCUGGUUGGUGAGGUAACGGCUCACCAAGGCGACGAUCAGUAGCCGGUCUGAGAGGAUGAACGGCCACAUUGGGACUGAGACACGGCCCAGACUCCUACGGGAGGCAGCAGUGGGGAAUCUUCCGCAAUGGGCGCAAGCCUGACGGAGCAACGCCGCGUGAGUGAAGAAGGUCUUCGGAUCGUAAAGCUCUGUUGAUGGGGACGAAUGUACGGAGUGCGAAUAGUGCUCUGU